GACAGAGGGUGCAAACGUUGCUCGGAAUCACUGGGCGUAAAGGGCGCGUAGGCGGGAAUGUAAGUCGGGCGUGAAAUCCCUAGGCUCAACCUAGGAACUGCACUCGAAACUGCGUUUCUUGAGUAUCGGAGAGGAAAGCGGAAUUCCUGGUGUAGAGGUGAAAUUCGUAGAUAUCAGGAGGAACACCAGUGGCGAAGGCGGCUUUCUGGACG
RNAcentral lists this ribosomal RNA (212 nucleotides) under uncultured bacterium. Its description in RNAcentral is "partial 16S ribosomal RNA". It matches the Rfam family "Bacterial small subunit ribosomal RNA", at positions 524 to 735 of the family's 1533-position model. The record is from RNAcentral.